GACGAACGCUGGCGGCGUGCUUAACACAUGCAAGUCGAACGGGCCUGCCUGGCUUUGGUUGGGUGGGUGAGUGGCGAACGGGUGAGUAACACGUGAGUAACCUGCCCUCUUCUCUUGGAUAACUGCUUGAAAGGGCGGCUAAUACGGGAUGUUCUGGCUGCCUCGCAUGGGGUGGUUUGGAAAGAUUCGGCCUGGUUUUGGUUGUUUUGGUGGGGGAUGGGCUCGCGGCUUAUCAGCUUGUUGGUGGGGUGAUGGCCUACCAAGGCGGUGACGGGUAGCCGGCCUGAGAGGGUGGACGGUCACACUGGGACUGAGACACGGCCCAGACUCCUGCGGGAGGCAGCAGUGGGGGAUUUUGCACAAUGGGCGCAAGCCUGAUGCAGCGACGCCGCGUGAGGGAUGGAGGCCUUCGGGUUGUGAACCUCUGUCGCCGGUGAUGUAGGCUCUGCUUUGUGGGUGGGGUUGACGGUAGCCGGGGUAUGAAGUGCCGGCUAACUACGUGCCAGCCGCCGCCGUAACAC
This 521-nucleotide ribosomal RNA is filed under the name uncultured bacterium. RNAcentral's name for it is "bacterial SSU rRNA". It matches the Rfam family "Bacterial small subunit ribosomal RNA", at positions 28 to 526 of the family's 1533-position model. The record is from RNAcentral.